RNAcentral lists this ribosomal RNA (484 nucleotides) under uncultured bacterium. RNAcentral describes it as "partial 16S ribosomal RNA". It matches the Rfam family "Bacterial small subunit ribosomal RNA", at positions 30 to 507 of the family's 1533-position model. The record is from RNAcentral.
AUUGAACGCUGGCGGCAGGCCUAACACAUGCAAGUCGAGCGGAUGAAGGGAGCUUGCUCCUGGAUUCAGCGGCGGACGGGUGAGUAAUGCCUAGGAAUCUGCCAGGUAGUGGGGGAUAACGUCCGGAAACGGGCGCUAAUACCGCAUACGUCCUGAGGGAGAAAGUGGGGGAUCUUCGGACCUCACGCUAUCAGAUGUGCCUAGGUCGGAUUAGCUAGUUGGUGGGGUAAGGGCCUACUAAGGCGACGAUCCGUAACUGGGCUGAGAGGAUGAUCAGUCACAAUGGAACUGAGGCACGGUCCAGACUCCUACGGGAGGCAGCAGUGGGGAAUAUUAGACCAUGGGCGAAAGCCUGAUCCAGCCAUGCCGCGUGUGUGAAGAAGGUCUUCGGAUUGUAAAGCACUUCUAGUUGGGGGGAAGGGCAGUAGGUUAAUACCUUGCUGUUUUGACGUUACCAACAGAAUAAGCACCGGCUAACUACGUG